Molecule: transfer RNA, 75 nt
Filed under: Gammaproteobacteria bacterium
Lineage: Bacteria; Pseudomonadati; Pseudomonadota; Gammaproteobacteria
Also listed under: 6 other names
Description: tRNA-Gln
Rfam family: tRNA
About the family: Transfer RNA (tRNA) molecules are approximately 80 nucleotides in length. Their secondary structure includes four short double-helical elements and three loops (D, anti-codon, and T loops).
Source: RNAcentral
UGGGCCGUCGCCAAGCGGUAAGGCACGGGGUUUUGAUCUCCGCAUACCCAGGUUCGAAUCCUGGCGGCCCAGCCA